This 372-nucleotide ribosomal RNA is filed under the name uncultured organism. RNAcentral's name for it is "bacterial SSU rRNA". It matches the Rfam family "Bacterial small subunit ribosomal RNA", at positions 526 to 896 of the family's 1533-position model. The record is from RNAcentral.
CAGAGGUCCCAAGCGUUGUUCGGAUUCACUGGGCGUAAAGGGUGCGUAGGUGGUGAGGUAAGUCGGAUGUGAAAUCUCCGAGCUCAACUCGGAAAUGGCAUUGGAAACUACCUUGCUCGAGGGUUGGAGGGGGGACUGGAAUGCUUGGUGUAGCAGUGAAAUGCGUAGAUAUCAAGCGGAACACCAGUGGCGAAGGCGAGUCCCUGGACAACUCCUGACACUGAGGCACGAAAGCUAGGGGAGCAAACAGGAUUAGAUACCCUGGUAGUCCUAGCCGUAAACGGUGCAUGUUUGCUGUAAAAGGAAUCGACCCCUUUUGUGGCGUAGCCAACGCGUUAAACAUGCCGCCUGGGAAGUACGGUCGCAAGAUUA